Molecule: ribosomal RNA, 404 nt
Filed under: uncultured microorganism
Description: bacterial SSU rRNA
Rfam family: Bacterial small subunit ribosomal RNA
Source: RNAcentral
GAGUUUGAUCCUGGCUCAGAUUGAACGCUGGCGGCAUGCCUUACACAUGCAAGUCGAACGGUAACAGGUCUUCGGAUGCUGACGAGUGGCGAACGGGUGAGUAAUACAUCGGAACGUGCCCGAUCGUGGGGGGAUAACGGAGCGAAAGCUUUGCUAAUACCGCAUACGAUCUACGGAUGAAAGCAGGGGACCGCAAGGCCUUGCGCGGACGGAGCGGCCGAUGGCAGAUUAGGUAGUUGGUGGGAUAAAAGCUUACCAAGCCGACGAUCUGUAGCUGGUCUGAGAGGACGACCAGCCACACUGGGACUGAGACACGGCCCAGACUCCUACGGGAGGCAGCAGUGGGGAAUUUUGGACAAUGGGCGAAAGCCUGAUCCAGCCAUGCCGCGUGCAGGAUGAAGGCC